This 495-nucleotide ribosomal RNA is filed under the name uncultured bacterium. Its description in RNAcentral is "partial 16S ribosomal RNA". It matches the Rfam family "Bacterial small subunit ribosomal RNA", at positions 28 to 507 of the family's 1533-position model. The record is from RNAcentral.
GACGAACGCUGGCGGCGUGCCUAAUACAUGCAAGUAGAACGCUGAAGGAGGAGCUUGCUUCUCUGGAUGAGUUGCGAACGGGUGAGUAACGCGUAGGUAACCUGCCUGGUAGCGGGGGAUAACUAUUGGAAACGAUAGCUAAUACCGCAUAAGAGUAGAUGUUGCAUGACAUUUGCUUAAAAGGUGCAAUUGCAUCACUACCAGAUGGACCUGCGUUGUAUUAGCUAGUUGGUGGGGUAACGGCUCACCAAGGCGACGAUACAUAGCCGACCUGAGAGGGUGAUCGGCCACACUGGGACUGAGACACGGCCCAGACUCCUACGGGAGGCAGCAGUAGGGAAUCUUCGGCAAUGGACGGAAGUCUGACCGAGCAACGCCGCGUGAGUGAAGAAGGGUUUCGGAUCGUAAAGCUCUGUUGUAAGGGAAGAACGAGUGUGAGAGUGGAAAGUUCACACUGUGACGGUAUCUUACCAGAAAGGGACGGCUAACUACGUG